RNAcentral lists this ribosomal RNA (465 nucleotides) under Vreelandella stevensii. Its description in RNAcentral is "partial 16S ribosomal RNA". It matches the Rfam family "Bacterial small subunit ribosomal RNA", at positions 338 to 795 of the family's 1533-position model. Lineage: Bacteria; Pseudomonadati; Pseudomonadota; Gammaproteobacteria; Oceanospirillales; Halomonadaceae. The record is from RNAcentral.
CCUACGGGAGGCAGCAGUGGGGAAUAUUGGACAAUGGGGGGAACCCUGAUCCAGCCAUGCCGCGUGUGUGAAGAAGGCCCUCGGGUUGUAAAGCACUUUCAGUGAGGAAGAACGCCUGGUGGUUAAUACCCAUCAGGAAAGACAUCACUCACAGAAGAAGCACCGGCUAACUCCGUGCCAGCAGCCGCGGUAAUACGGAGGGUGCGAGCGUUAAUCGGAAUUACUGGGCGUAAAGCGCGCGUAGGUGGCUUGAUAAGCCGGGUGUGAAAGCCCCGGGCUCAACCUGGGAACGGCAUCCGGAACUGUCAAGCUAGAGUGCAGGAGAGGGAGGUAGAAUUCCCGGUGUAGCGGUGAAAUGCGUAGAGAUCGGGAGGAAUACCAGUGGCGAAGGCGGCCUUCUGGACUGACACUGACACUGAGGUACGAAAGCGUGGGUAGCAAACAGGAUUAGAUACCCCGGUAGUC